This 1598-nucleotide ribosomal RNA is filed under the name Tylomelania insulaesacrae. Its description in RNAcentral is "partial 16S ribosomal RNA". The stretch from base 1107 to 1265 matches the Rfam family "Archaeal large subunit ribosomal RNA", at positions 1885 to 2088 of the family's 2987-position model. Lineage: Eukaryota; Metazoa; Mollusca; Gastropoda; Pachychilidae. The record is from RNAcentral.
CUAAAAUUAAUAAUAGAAAACUUAUCAAUUUGUUUUGUAUCUUAGUUUACUGAGGAUAAGCUCAGUAAAAAUAAUAAAAUAGUAUACAUCUCAUUUAGCUAGCUAUAUGGGCUUGAAAUUAGCCAUUGUGUUAAAGUUUGUUACAAAAUAGUUUUUAUAUAUAGAAAGAUUGAUAUACUUUUUUUACAGGGGUAACAUGAAAAAUCAUGAUAUCUUGAUUCACUUAUGCUAGGAUGAGUAUUAAUGUAUAAAAUAUAUAAACAAAAAUAGAAAGAUAUAUAAAAUAACUUUGCUCAAAACAAAAUAAGAAUAAGGAAUUCAGCAACGCUUAGCUCCGCCUGUUUAUCAAAAACAUGGCUCUUUGUUAACUAAAUAUAAAGAGUCAGACCUGCCCAGUGAAGUUUUAACGGCCGCGGUACUCUGACCGUGCAAAGGUAGCAUAAUCAUUUGCCUUAUAAUUGAAGGCUUGUAUGAAUGGUUUGACGGGAGCAUUACUGUCUUUUUCUUACCCUAUAGAACUUGACCUUUGGGUGAAGAGGCCCAGAUACAGUUGAAAGACAAAAAGACCCUGUCGAGCUUAAAAAGGAAUCAGAAUAAUUUUAUUAUCCAAGAUUAAUUACUGACUAAUUUUUUUGGUUGGGGCGACCAAGGAACAAAAAAGCUUCCUCUAUUUUCUUAGCUAAUAAGCAUGGAUCCAGAAAAAGCUGAUUAAAAGAAGUAGUUACCGCAGGGAUAACAGCAUAAUCUCUCUUGAGAGACCUAAUCGAAAGAGGGGGUUGUGACCUCGAUGUUGGACUAGAAUAUCCCAAAGAUGCAGAAGUCUACUGAGGAUAAGCUCAGUAAAAAUAAUAAAAUAGUAUACAUCUCAUUUAGCUAGCUAUAUGGGCUUGAAAUUAGCCAUUGUGUUAAAGUUUGUUACAAAAUAGUUUUUAUAUAUAGAAAGAUUGAUAUACUUUUUUUACAGGGGUAACAUGAAAAAUCAUGAUAUCUUGAUUCACUUAUGCUAGGAUGAGUAUUAAUGUAUAAAAUAUAUAAACAAAAAUAGAAAGAUAUAUAAAAUAACUUUGCUCAAAACAAAAUAAGAAUAAGGAAUUCAGCAACGCUUAGCUCCGCCUGUUUAUCAAAAACAUGGCUCUUUGUUAACUAAAUAUAAAGAGUCAGACCUGCCCAGUGAAGUUUUAACGGCCGCGGUACUCUGACCGUGCAAAGGUAGCAUAAUCAUUUGCCUUAUAAUUGAAGGCUUGUAUGAAUGGUUUGACGGGAGCAUUACUGUCUUUUUCUUACCCUAUAGAACUUGACCUUUGGGUGAAGAGGCCCAGAUACAGUUGAAAGACAAAAAGACCCUGUCGAGCUUAAAAAGGAAUCAGAAUAAUUUUAUUAUCCAAGAUUAAUUACUGACUAAUUUUUUUGGUUGGGGCGACCAAGGAACAAAAAAGCUUCCUCUAUUUUCUUAGCUAAUAAGCAUGGAUCCAGAAAAAGCUGAUUAAAAGAAGUAGUUACCGCAGGGAUAACAGCAUAAUCUCUCUUGAGAGACCUAAUCGAAAGAGGGGGUUGUGACCUCGAUGUUGGACUAGAAUAUCCCAAAGAUGCAGAAGUCU